GUCUACAGCCAUACCACCCUGAACACGCCCGAUCUUGUUUGAUUUUGGAAGCUGAGCAGGGUCGAGCCUGGUUAGUACUUGGAUGGGAGAAAUGCUGUCUUUAGCUUGCUGAUGAAC
Ribosomal RNA from Aotus nancymaae (Ma's night monkey), 117 nucleotides. The record is from Ensembl. NCBI's taxonomy places the organism in Eukaryota, Metazoa, Chordata, Mammalia, Primates, Aotidae.